This 484-nucleotide ribosomal RNA is filed under the name uncultured bacterium. RNAcentral describes it as "partial 16S ribosomal RNA". It matches the Rfam family "Bacterial small subunit ribosomal RNA", at positions 30 to 507 of the family's 1533-position model. The record is from RNAcentral.
AUUGAACGCUGGCGGCAGGCCUAACACAUGCAAGUCGAGCGGAUGAAGGGAGCUUGCUCCUGGAUUCAGCGGCGGACGGGUGAGUAAUGCCUAGGAAUCUGCCUGGUAGUGGGGGAUAACGUCCGGAAACGGGCGCUAAUACCGCAUACGUCCUGAGGGAGAAAGUGGGGGAUCUUCGGACCUCACGCUAUCAGAUGAGCCUAGGUCGGAUUAGCUAGUUGGUGGGGUAAAGGCCUACCAAGGCGACGAUCCGUAACUGGUCUGAGAGGAUGAUCAGUCACUCUAGAAGUCGAACACAUGCCAGACUCCUACGGUAGACAGCAGUGUGGAAUAUUGGACAAUUCUCUCAGAUCGUAUCCAUGCAUGCCAGGUAGGUCAAGAAGAUCUUCAGAUCGGGAGGCACUUAAACCUGGGGAGAAGGGCAGUAAAUUAGUACCUUGCUAUUUUGACAGUACCGGCAAAGUAAGCGCCAGCUAACUACGUG